RNAcentral lists this transfer RNA (61 nucleotides) under Ictidomys tridecemlineatus (thirteen-lined ground squirrel). RNAcentral's name for it is "Spermophilus tridecemlineatus (thirteen-lined ground squirrel) tRNA". It matches the Rfam family "tRNA", at positions 6 to 65 of the family's 71-position model. Rfam says of the family: Transfer RNA (tRNA) molecules are approximately 80 nucleotides in length. RNAcentral also lists the same sequence under 1 other name. The record is from Rfam by way of RNAcentral. Lineage: Eukaryota; Metazoa; Chordata; Mammalia; Rodentia; Sciuridae.
UGUAGCUCAGUGGUAGAGCAUUUGCUUGGUAUGUGUGAGAUCCUGAGUUCAAUCCCCAGCA